This 1070-nucleotide long non-coding RNA is filed under the name Sus scrofa (pig). RNAcentral describes it as "lncRNA (ENSSSCG00070029261.1)". Lineage: Eukaryota; Metazoa; Chordata; Mammalia; Artiodactyla; Suidae. The record is from RNAcentral.
GGAGGUGGCCGUGCAGGACUCAAAGCCGGGUCAGUGUGCGUCUGCCUGUAGGUUGUCCCUUACCCCAAGGCCAUCAGCACCAUGAAGCCCUGAAGUGGCUGCCCCCCAACAGUCACUCUGGGGUUCUGGUGACUGACCCCAAAUGGAGAUCGAUGGCUGGUCUCCCAGAGCAGGACGUCCAGGGAGUUCCCAGGUUACGGGGAGACACAGGUCCACCCUGGAGAAGUUUCUGUCCGGGUUGAUGGGCAGGCUCAGCUUCUGUCGGGGCAGAUCUGAGAGUCUGAGGGAGGAAGUCCCCAGGGAGCUGCUGCUGUGGCUGGAGAGACACAGGCCCUGCCUUGGAGGGGAUUCCAGUCUGAUGAGGGAGGCUCAGCUCCAGCUCGUGCUCCCCAAAGCGGGGAGCUCGGGUGCCAACAGAGGCCUCAGGAAGGAAGAAACAGCAGUUCAACGUGGAGAAACUGGAGCAGGGAAUUGGCCAGAGGUCAAGGUCAAGGCCAAAGCCAGUCUUGCCUGCCUCGCCCCUCCCCCUGUCUGCUGGGGCCUCUGCAACAAGCCUGAGUGAGUUCAAGCCAGCAUCUGAUGGAGGAACUCAGAACCUCAGAGUCUCAGCCUCCAGCUCCUGAGGACUUGUGGGCCACUCAGACCCCAGCGUCGUUGUCAGUCAUCACCCAUGGUGGUAACAGGGAGAGCAGCCAGCAGCCCUGCAGGAUCCCAUCUGAAAGAACAGAGCUGAAUCAGGACUCUGCACAGGUGACUCCAGUUUCUGACUCUCAGCUGAGCCUCUGGUGUGGGGCUCCGCCUGGGGAGGGUGGAAUGUGGGAAGAUGAGAGGCAGCUGCUUACAUGGAGUUUGGAGGCAGACAGACUUAGGGUGAUGGUGGAGAAAACCCUUCAUCUCCCAGAGCCUCAGUUUCCUCAAAUUGCAGAAUGACUGCGGGGCUGAGUGAGCACAGCCUGCUGUGGCCAUGCUGCCGGGCACGCUGUGCAGCAUUCGGAAAAUAGCACCUAGCUUUUACACCUGAUGGUAGCAUAUGGUCUUGACCUUUAAGGGUCUCACACUCCAGCUGAGAA